This 932-nucleotide unclassified non-coding RNA is filed under the name Hevea brasiliensis (rubber tree). Lineage: Eukaryota; Viridiplantae; Streptophyta; Magnoliopsida; Malpighiales; Euphorbiaceae. The record is from RNAcentral.
GAAUCCCUCAAGCAAUUAAAUAGCUAAUAAGCAGAAAAGUCUUGAGCAAAUUUACAUAUACAUAUAUUCACAAACUUGUUACAUUCACAGUGGUAGAACGGGAAAGGGACAUGACUGGUUGCUGCGGUAUGCAGCUGACCUUAUCAGCUUCCAACAAUGGUUUCUAUAUACAAUUUCUCGUGGAUUAACUGUCAAGUAUAUUUCCUCAAGUUCCUUUUAGCCCUAAAUUGACCAAGCUUGUCCCUCCAUUGAGCUGCAUCUUGGUAACGUUCUUCAAUGACGGCAGCAACCAUGUUGCGAACAAGAUCAAACUCCUUGGUAUCAAGACAAGGCUGACCAGUGGGCCGAUCUAGUUCAGUAAAUAAUAAGCCAUCUGAAGCUGGAGACCGUGUUAGCUUUCCAGAUUCAAUGACUCUCAUUCCAUCACUGUAUGCCAGGUGCUUGUUGACUUGAAUUGGUACCUUGCAUCUCACUGCAAUAUUGAUGGCAUCUGAAGGACGAAGGUCAAAGCUGACACAUUCCGUCUCAUUGCCCAAUUUUGUCAGGUAUAACUGAGCAAAAUAUGCCUCAUGCACCCUCUUAGUAACUCUAACAAGUCUGACUUCAUAGCCCAUUUUCUCAAUCAUUUCCUUUACCACUUGAUACAUAGUUGGUCUAGCUAUCUGCACAUUGCGAACAGCUGCCAUGAGCAACACACUGGGCAUCUCCAAAACAAUUAUAGGGAGAAGAAGACCAGUCCCAUCUUCCAUCUUCAAUACAAUUGCAGGAUGAGGUGCAUAGUCUGGCAGAUGCCCGCCUUGAGGGUUGUUAUGGACACAUCGUAAGUGCCUCCCAUCCCUCAUUUUGAUCACGAAACCAUCUGCNNNNNNNNNNNUAUAUGAUAAAUCAUGGGAAGCAUUAGUAAUUGAUGACAGUUCGAAACUGCAAUGAUC